GAUGAACGCUAGCUACAGGCUUAACACAUGCAAGUCGAGGGGUAACGAGAGGGAAGCUUGCUUUCCUUGUCGACGACCGGCGCACGGGUGAGUAACGCGUAUCCAACCUGCCCCCAACUAGGGAAUAACCUUGCGAAAGUAAGACUAAUACCCUAUAAUUUCCUCAGAUGUCAUCUGACGAGGAAUAAAGAUUUAUCGGUUGUGGAUGGGGAUGCGUCUGAUUAGCUUGUUGGCGGGGUAACGGCCCACCAAGGCAACGAUCAGUAGGGGAACUGAGAGGAGAGUCCCCCAAAUUGGAACUGAGGAACGGACCAAACUACUACGGGAGGCAGCAGUGAGGAAUAUUGGUCAAUGGGCGGAAGCCUGAACCAGCCAAGUAGCGUGCAGGAUGACGGCCCUAUGGGUUGCAAACUGCUUUUAUACAGGAAUAAAGUUAGCCACGUGUCGUUAUUUGUAGGUACUGUAUGAAUAAGGACCGGCUAAUUCCGUGCCAGCCGCCGCGGUAA
This 506-nucleotide ribosomal RNA is filed under the name uncultured bacterium. RNAcentral's name for it is "partial 16S ribosomal RNA". It matches the Rfam family "Bacterial small subunit ribosomal RNA", at positions 28 to 523 of the family's 1533-position model. The record is from RNAcentral.